AGAGUUUGAUCCUGGCUCAGAUUGAACGCUGGCGGCAUGCCUUACACAUGCAAGUCGAACGGUAACGCGGGGGCAACCCUGGCGACGAGUGGCGAACGGGUGAGUAAUACAUCGGAACAUAUCCAGUAGCGGGGGAUAACCUAUCGAAAGAUGGACUAAUACCGCAUACGAUCUACGGAUGAAAGCAGGGGACCGCAAGGCCUUGCACUAUUGGAGUGGCCGAUGUCGGAUUAGCUAGUUGGUGGGGUAAAAGCCUACCAAGGCGACGAUCCGUAGCUGGUCUGAGAGGACGAUCAGCCACACUGGAACUGAGACACGGUCCAGACUCCUACGGGAGGCAGCAGUGGGGAAUUUUGGACAAUGGGCGCAAGCCUGAUCCAGCCAUGCCGCGUGAGUGAAGAAGGCCUUCGGGUUGUAAAGCUCUUUCGGUGAAGACGAAACGGUUCAUGCUAAUAACGUGAACUAAUGACGGUACUCACAGAAGAAGCACCGGCUAACUACGUGCCAGCAGCCGCGGUAAUACGUAGGGUGCAGGCGUUAAUCGGAAUUACUGGGCGUAAAGCGUGCGCAGGCGGUUUGCUAAGACAGGUGUGAAAUCCCCGGGCUUAACCUGGGAAUUGCGCUUGUAACUGGCAAGCUAGAGUGUGGCAGAGGGGGGUGGAAUUCCACGUGUAGCAGUGAAAUGCGUAGAUAUGUGGAGGAACACCGAUGGCGAAGGCAGCCCCCUGGGUUAACACUGACGCUCAUGCACGAAAGCGUGGGAGCAAACAGGAUUAGAUACCCUGGUAGUCCACGCCCUAAACUAUGUCAACUAGUUGUCGGGGAAGAAAUUCCUUGGUAACGAAGCUAACGCGUGAAGUUGACCGCCUGGGGAGUACGGCCGCAAGGUUAAAACUCAAAGGAAUUGACGGGGACCCGCACAAGCGGUGGAUUAUGUGGAUUAAUUCGAUGCAACGCGAAAAACCUUACCUACCCUUGACAUGCUAGGAAGCCCGCAGAGAUGUGGGUGUGCCCGAAAGGGAACCUAGACACAGGUGCUGCAUGGCUGUCGUCAGCUCGUGUCGUGAGAUGUUGGGUUAAGUCCCGCAACGAGCGCAACCCUUGCCAUUAGUUGCUACAUUCAGUUGGGCACUCUAAUGGGACCGCCGGUGACAAACCGGAGGAAGGUGGGGAUGACGUCAAGUCCUCAUGGCCCUUAUGGGUAGGGCUUCACACGUAAUACAAUGGUCGGUACAGAGGGCUGCCAACCCGCAAGGGGGAGCUAAUCCCAGAAAGCCGAUCGUAGUCCGGAUUGUAGUCUGCAACUCGACUGCAUGAAGCCGGAAUCGCUAGUAAUCGCGGAUCAGCAUGUCGCGGUGAAUACGUUCCCGGGUCUUGUACACACCGCCCGUCACACCAUGGGAGUGGGUUCCACCAGAAGUAGUUAGCCUAACCGCAAGGAGGGCGAUUACCACGGUGAGAUUCAUGACUGGGGUGAAGUCGGAACAAGGUA
This 1492-nucleotide ribosomal RNA is filed under the name metagenome. RNAcentral describes it as "bacterial SSU rRNA". It matches the Rfam family "Bacterial small subunit ribosomal RNA". The record is from RNAcentral.